Oryctolagus cuniculus (rabbit) is the source of this 1585-nucleotide long non-coding RNA. Lineage: Eukaryota; Metazoa; Chordata; Mammalia; Lagomorpha; Leporidae. The record is from Ensembl.
GACAUCAGGUCAGGAAUGAAUUUGUGAAAUGUACAAAUCAACUGUAAUUCAAUAUGAAACAAUAAUUGAACACCUACUGUAUGCCUAGAAUUGCUAGGUGCUGGUGAUACUAUCGUGCUGAAGCAGAUCCAGGUUUUACCUUCAAAAGACGCUAUUAAAAUCCAGAAUGGGUGCCAGUGCUGCGGCAUAGCGGGUUAACCCUCCCCCUGUGGCUGCAGCAGUACAUAUGUGUGCAGGUAUGAGUCCCAGCUGCUCCACUUCCAAUCCAGCUCCUUGCUAAUGUGCCUGGGAAAGAAGUGGAAGAUGAUCCAAGUGCUUGGGUCCAUGCACCUGCAUGGGAGGCCGGGAAGAAGCCCCUGACUUCGGAUCCACCCAGUUCUGGCUGUUGUGGCCAUCUGGGGAGUGAACCAGCAGGUGGAAGACUCUGUCUCUGUCUCUCUCUCUCUCUCUCUCUGUAACUCUGCCUCUCAAAUAAAUAAGUAGAUUUUUUAAAAAAUUAAAUAAAACCCAGAGUGGUACAUAUACAACCAACUGACCAAGAGGAUCCCAGGAGAGAAUUAAGAAGACAUAUCUGGGCCGGCGCCGUGGCUCAAUAGGCUAAUCCUCUGCCAGCAGCACCGGCACACCGGGUUCUAGUCCCGGUCGGGGUGCCGGUUUCUGUCCCGGUUGCCCCUCUUCCAGGCCAGCUCUCUGUUGUGGCCCGAGAGUGCAGUGGAGGAUGGCCCAAGUGGUUGGGCCCUGCACCCACAUGGGAGUCCAGGAGAAGCACCUGGCUCCUGGCUUCAGAUCAGCAUGGCGCGCCAGCCGCAGUGGCCAUUGGAGGGUGAACCAAUGGUAAAGGAAGACCUUUCUCUCUGUCUCUCUCUCUCUCUCUCAGUGUCCACUCUGCCUGUCAAGAAGAAGAAGAAGAAGAAGAAGAAGAAGAAGAAGAAGAAGAAGAAGAAGAAGAAGAAGAAGAAGAGGAGGAGGAGGAGGAGGAGGAGGAGGAGGAGGAAGAGGAGGAGGAGGAGGAGGAAGAAGAAGAAGAAGACGAAGAAGAAGACAUAUCUGUUAGAACCUGCAUACAAGGUCAGAAGAGUCUCUGAACUGAAUCUCUUAAAGAGUUAUCCAGGCGAUCUAUCUUCAGCAAACCAAAGGCAAAACAGAUGGGAGAGACUCUGGCCCAACAAAGUUCUGGGAAGAACACAUUCCACACAGGCUGUCUCCGGAUCUGUGCCAAUCAGGAAGCUGCUCCGUAGAUGCUGACCUUGCACUUGUUGAUGCCACACCUCAGUGUAUCACCAGCAUGGGUGCCCGACAAGGGUUUUAUUUUCCAGAGCUUCUGAUUCCAACACUUUCUCUGGCUGUCAGACAUAUUCCCAAUACUCAAAGACACUAAGAAUAUCAUGCAUUUCAGAACUGGGACAUUUUACAAAUCAAUGGGAAAAAUAACUCAUACUGUUCAAAAGAGAUUGUAUAAGCAAGGAAUAUGCACAGCCUGUGGGUGUGACCCAUAAACAGUUGAAAACAAGUUAAUGUGGGGCUGAAGGAAGCAGUAAGUGCAAAUCAAAACUAUAAAUAAACAUUUCUGGGCCAAUAAGAAGCA